Long non-coding RNA from Oncorhynchus tshawytscha (Chinook salmon), 387 nucleotides. Lineage: Eukaryota; Metazoa; Chordata; Actinopteri; Salmoniformes; Salmonidae. The record is from Ensembl.
UUUAUCUGUUGGUUAGUAGGUGUUAUUAUAUUAUUGAACCUCUUGAGCCAUACGCUAUUGGGUUAGUCAGACUGAUCAGCAAGUCUCAAUAAGGUGUUGGGAUCAACAAGUCUCAAUAAGGUGUUGGGUUAGUCAGGCUGAUCGGCAAGUCUCAAUAAGGUGUUGGGUUAGUCAGGCUGAUCAACAAGUCUCAAUAAGGUGUUGGGUUAGUCAGGCUGAUCAACAAGUCUCAAUAAGGUGUUGGGUUAGUCAGGCUGAUCAGCAAGUCUCAAGUCUCAAACACCUUAGUAAUAUAUUCUGUCCAUGGACUCAUGCUACUCAUUUUCACUGGGGUUGUGUGUCCCAAAUGGCAACUCAUUCUACAUUUGACCAGGGCCCAUAUGGGGG